This is a non-coding RNA of Morus notabilis, 129 nucleotides long. Lineage: Eukaryota; Viridiplantae; Streptophyta; Magnoliopsida; Rosales; Moraceae. The record is from Rfam.
AUCCCAGAUAAAAAGUUACUUGUUUUAUCUGCUUCAUGGGAGGCAAACACUAACAAUGGAAGUUUUGCUGAUAAACACCUUGUUUUGCUGUUUUUCUGGAGGUGUUUAAUAGUAGCUUUCCAUACAUGA